CUCUUCUUGGAUGAGUUGCGAACGGGUGAGUAACGCGUAGGUAACCUGCCUUGUAGCGGGGGAUAACUAUUGGAAACGAUAGCUAAUACCGCAUAACAAUGGAUGACACAUGUCAUUUAUUUGAAAGGGGCAAUUGCUCCACUACAAGAUGGACCUGCGUUGUAUUAGCUAGUAGGUGAGGUAACGGCUCACCUAGGCGACGAUACAUAGCCGACCUGAGAGGGUGAUCGGCCACACUGGGACUGAGACACGGCCCAGACUCCUACGGGAGGCAGCAGUAGGGAAUCUUCGGCAAUGGGGGCAACCCUGACCGAGCAACGCCGCGUGAGUGAAGAAGGUUUUCGGAUCGUAAAGCUCUGUUGUAAGUCAAGAACGAGUGUGAGAGUGGAAAGUUCACACUGUGACGGUAGCUUACCAGAAAGGGACGGCUAACUACGUGCCAGCAGCCGCGGUAAUACGUAGGUCCCGAGCGUUGUCCGGAUUUAUUGGGCGUAAAGCGAGCGCAGGCGGUUUGAUAAGUCUGAAGUUAAAGGCUGUGGCUCAACCAUAGUUCGCUUUGGAAACUGUCAAACUUGAGUGCAGAAGGGGAGAGUGGAAUUCCAUGUGUAGCGGUGAAAUGCGUAGAUAUAUGGAGGAACACCGGUGGCGAAAGCGGCUCUCUGGUCUGUAACUGACGCUGAGGCUCGAAAGCGUGGGGAGCGAACAGGAUUAGAUACCCUGGUAGUCCACGCCGUAAACGAUGAGUGCUAGGUGUUGGAUCCUUUCCGGGAUUCAGUGCCGCAGCUAACGCAUUAAGCACUCCGCCUGGGGAGUACGACCGCAAGGUUGAAACUCAAAGGAAUUGACGGGGGCCCGCACAAGCGGUGGAGCAUGUGGUUUAAUUCGAAGCAACGCGAAGAACCUUACCAGGUCUUGACAUCCCGAUGCUAUUUCUAGAGAUAGAAAGUUACUUCGGUACAUCGGUGACAGGUGGUGCAUGGUUGUCGUCAGCUCGUGUCGUGAGAUGUUGGGUUAAGUCCCGCAACGAGCGCAACCCCUAUUGUUAGUUGCCAUCAUUCAGUUGGGCACUCUAGCGAGACUGCCGGUAAUAAACCGGAGGAAGGUGGGGAUGACGUCAAAUCAUCAUGCCCCUUAUGACCUGGGCUACACACGUGCUACAAUGGUUGGUACAACGAGUUGCGAGUCGGUGACGGCAAGCUAAUCUCUUAAAGCCAAUCUCAGUUCGGAUUGUAGGCUGCAACUCGCCUACAUGAAGUCGGAAUCGCUAGUAAUCGCGGAUCAGCACGCCGCGGUGAAUACGUUCCCGGGCCUUGUACACACCGCCCGUCACACCACGAGAGUUUGUAACACCCGAAGUCGGUGAGGUAACCUUUUGGAGCCA
Molecule: ribosomal RNA, 1381 nt
Filed under: Streptococcus salivarius
Lineage: Bacteria; Bacillati; Bacillota; Bacilli; Lactobacillales; Streptococcaceae
Description: bacterial SSU rRNA
Rfam family: Bacterial small subunit ribosomal RNA
Source: RNAcentral